GGUUGGUUGAGGAAUCACCAGGGCAAGUCGAUGUUGCUUGUGGACUGAGUGCAGGAACCUUUUGAACUAACGCACGAGGAAGGAACAACAAAGGCUGUGGUGUCAACAUGAUCUUUUAAUUUUUUUCUGCAGCAAAUCAGUAAAUGCUUAUUCUUUUUGCCUAUGGCUGUCUUACAAAUCAACUAAUAAAAAAUAAUGCUAAGCAAAAUAA
Molecule: long non-coding RNA, 211 nt
Organism: Spea bombifrons (plains spadefoot toad)
Lineage: Eukaryota; Metazoa; Chordata; Amphibia; Anura; Pelobatidae
Exons: 2
Source: RefSeq, a predicted model, not a curated record